UUUCCGUAGGUGAACCUGCGGAAGGAUCAUUAAAAAAUUGGACUCCAUUGGUGAGUUCAUUAAUAAUCCCUACCCUUUGUGAAUUUGUUUGUUUGAAUAAUUUUUUUUCCAAAAAAAAUUAUUGAAUGUCUUUCCCUGUUUUGGUGGAGCUUGUAAAGUGAAACCAGGCAGGGGAAUGGCAAACAAUAAUUAUUUUUGAAAAAAGACCUUUUUUUAAAAUUAAACUUUUUGUAUUCAUUUGUCUAAAAUUAUUUUUAUAAUAUAAAAACAACUUUUGACAAUGGAUCUCUUGGUUCUCGCAACGAUGAAGAACGCAGCAAAAUGCGAUAAGUAGUGUGAAUUGCAGAAUACGUGAAUCAUCGAAUCUUCGAACGCAUAUUGCACUUUUUUAGUUUACUAAAAAAGUAUGUCUGUUUGAGUAUCAGUAAAAUAUUCUCAUAAAAAACAUUGUUUUUUUAUGGCUAUGAGUGUUUUACAACGAUAACAAGUUGUUUCACUUUAAAUUCUUUGUUAUCAAAAAAAUCAUUAAAAGCUAAUUUUAAAGAUUUUUUAAAAUUGGAUAAAAUUUUCCCGUAAAAAGGAAUAACCUAAACAAUUUUAAAAAAUUAAAAUUGGUUUGAUUUUUUUGAAACCCAAAGGAAAAAAAAACGAAAUUAACUUGAUCUCAAAUCAGAUAAGAGUACCCGCUGAACUUAAGCAUAUCAAUAAGCGGAGGAAAAGAAACUAACUAGGAUUCCCUCAGUAACGGCGAGUGAAGCGGGAAGAGCUCAAAUUUGAAAUCUUCAAGGUUUUACCUUGACGAAUUGUAGUUUAAAGAAGUGUUUUCUGUUGGAGUUUUGGUAAAAGUUCUUUGGAAAAGGACAUCAUAGAGGGUGAGAAUCCCGUAUUUGACCAUUAUCUCCAGCUUUGUGAUACACUUUCAAAGAGUCGGAUUGUUUGGGAAUGCAGUCCAAAAUGGGUGGUAAAUUUCAUCUAAAGCUAAAUACUGGCGAGAGACCGAUAGCGAACAAGUACCGUGAGGGAAAGAUGAAAAGAACUUUGAAAAGAGAGUUAAACAGUACGUGAAAUUGUCAAAAGGGAAGCGUUUGACACCAGUGUUGUUUUCUCGAAAAUCAAUUAAAAAAGGCCGGAUUUUGUGUUGUAUUGACUUUAUCAGCUUUCUGCACUUUUUUCUUGUCUUUUUUAAUGCACUUUUCGUUUAACAAGUCAACAUCAAUUUCUUUUGUUGUAAAAGGGUCAUUGGAAGGUGGCUUUCUUUUCGGAGAAAGUGUUUAUAGCCUUUGGCCUCUGCAAUCGGAGAGAUUGAGGUCUGCAGCGUAGAUCCUUCGGGGUUAGAUACAUUUGUGCUAAGUUAUAGCCUUUCAUAGACAACUUGUUGACUAUGAUCAGUCAUGUAGCUUACUCGCUUAUGCUAUUU
RNAcentral lists this unclassified non-coding RNA (1417 nucleotides) under uncultured Neocallimastigales. RNAcentral's name for it is "partial contains small subunit ribosomal RNA, internal transcribed spacer 1, 5.8S ribosomal RNA, internal transcribed spacer 2, and large subunit ribosomal RNA". The stretch from base 660 to 1417 matches the Rfam family "Eukaryotic large subunit ribosomal RNA", at positions 1 to 617 of the family's 3401-position model. The record is from RNAcentral. Lineage: Eukaryota; Fungi; Neocallimastigomycota; Neocallimastigomycetes; Neocallimastigales.